UGUGCCGUCGCACUUCACCUCACUCCUCCCUCUCCUAACGGCGUGACGUAGUUUAUGGAUGCUCUGGUGUAUGUAUCUCCUUGGUGUAUAUAAGCACACGCAGUAAUCGGUAUAAAUAUAUAUAUAUAUAUACCUGGCUCUCGUUUGAUGCAUUCCCCAUUUAUGUUUUCUCGGAGAUACGCGUUUGAAGAAUGCAUCCCGCUUCUCGGUAAUACGCGAAAAUUUUCGUAAAUGCGCGAUUUGGAGUAAAAAUCGAAAUUUCUUCAUUUACUUCGGAGAUAAUAAAAUUGGUGCUAUAAUCGUCAAAUAGUGGUAAAAUUUGAAAAUGUAUCGGUUUCUGUACAAAAAUCGCAAAACGGAAGAUGAAUUGAGCGCUAUCGCACCAGUACAGCGUCUAUAGGUUGUACUGUAUAAAGACUGCGGGAAGAUGGGAAUCCUAAAAAUCGAAGAAAUAACAAUGGCUAUUUUAUUCUUUGUACCAUCGAAACAAUACGUUUAGUCAUCGCACUACGUACGCGAUAGCCAGGUAUAUUUUCACCUCUACGUUAAUGCUUCGUUCUUUGUUAGCCGUUCUAUCACAUUUUAGUAGUAGCCCUUCAGUAGGAGGCUGGGGAAGACACAUCUGGGCCGGUUCGAUCGAAGGAAAAUUCCAUCGGAAAAUAACACCGCCACAACUUUCGCUGAUGUCGCGUUACUUCGAGUAGGCUUGAUAAGCGCAAUCUACCUAAGUGCGGGAAUUUUCUGAAACGCUCUACAUCGGACACGUGUCAAAAAAGUCCUCGUUUUGCGCGUUUUUAAUUUAGGUGGUCAUUUAAAGAAACCACCUACCGCGUAACUACGAGAACUAAAUGUGUGUGUGUAAAUGUAUAAAAUUAGAAAAUAAAAUAUGUUUUAGCGUAAAAACCCUGCCAGAGACGACCGAAUUGGUGGCUUGGACUUUCCACUUUGGACCACCCGAGUCCCACCGCUUGGAAAUAUUUAUGGUGGGAUCCGGUUCCGGUCCGUCGAUCUCCGUCCUUCGCAGUCCGGCUGACCUUUCCGCAGGAGUAGGCAGCCUUAAGAAGUGUUUGUUUUUCCCGCCACUUAGUACUCUUUCUGAAUGUAAAGUGUGAAAAAACCCUGGCCAGAUAAAUCUAAAUCGAAUAUCACACACUACAGAAUGGUGCUAUUAAAUUUUAUAUUGAAGAGAAUUGGCGCGUGUUGCCUGUCGUAUUUUUUGCCCGAUGAUUUUUCGAGAAACAACAAAUUGACAGAACAUGGCAGGCAUUUCAAUAUUUUACAAUCGAUUGUCUCGAGGACUUUUUGCAGUUGGAUGGUUCCAGCAAAUGGAAACGAAAAAAUUAAAAGCCAUUAUACCGGGUCUUUCUGAGCGCCGGUGCCGGCGGUUUUUCUCGUGGCUGGGACGCCGCGGGGCGUCGGGGUGAGGGAAUUGAC
Molecule: long non-coding RNA, 1434 nt
Filed under: Androctonus crassicauda
Lineage: Eukaryota; Metazoa; Arthropoda; Arachnida; Scorpiones; Buthidae
Source: RNAcentral